Long non-coding RNA from Oncorhynchus mykiss (rainbow trout), 2200 nucleotides. NCBI's taxonomy places the organism in Eukaryota, Metazoa, Chordata, Actinopteri, Salmoniformes, Salmonidae. The record is from Ensembl.
AUGGGAAAGGAGAGGCGAAUUUGGCCCUUGCUCCCUCCCUUCCUUUAUGCUGCGCGAGUUGUUCUCAUUAGCAUAAAAUUCAUCCCGCUUGUAAUUAAAGAGGGGAGGCAGAUAGAACCCAGUCUUUUUUUCUCAUGGCAGGGAACGAAUAAGCAUCUCCCUCUCUGCAGGAACUCUCCAGGACACACACUGAUGCAGGACCUUGGACAGAUAUAUCAUCAUCUCAAGCCAGAAAAACAAAAAAACGCAGAGAAAUAAUUUGAGUGAGAGAGAUCAGUAGCUGUGUGGGCCUGGACAAGGAGAACAGGUGAGAGUCCUAAUAGUAACCACAAUGCUAUCUUAGCAUGCAUAAUGAGUUUUAUUUUAUUUUUUGAGGGGGAGGGGGGUGAACAGUUUAUAUUCUGAAGAGGCCCUGUACUUCUCAUUCAUGUGGGAACAUUUCACACUGUGUCAGAAAAUGUCUCUUAGAAACAAUAACAACAAUUUUACUUGCUAGUCUUAACAAAUACUGUAUGGACACAUAAAAAAAAUAAUAUGUAGGAUUUGGAAAAUUACCAAAUUGUAAUGCCAGCAGAGUUGAAACACACCAGACCUUAUGCUUCUUAGACCCAGUGAGGCAGAAGACGUGGAAGACUGUAGACCAACAGCUAACUCCUGACGUAAAUUCAACUGUUUAAGUUAGGCCAGAGUCUGAGGUCGAUCUCGGGACACGGAAACUUCACAAUAAAAGAGAAAUCUUGAUUUUUGUUUUCUGAUUACAGAUUAAUUUAGUCUUGGAUAACUUUUGUUUGGCCAUCAUCAAUUUCCCAUGAUUUUAGUCAUAUUAACAAUAUUUACACUGCCUUCAGAAAGUAUUCACACCCCUUGAGUGGGAUUAAAAUUGAUUUAAUUGUUUUAAAAAAUUGUCAACGAUCUACACAAAAUACUGUGUAAUGUCAAAGUGGAAGAAAAAUUAUAAUAUUUGUAAAACAUUAAUGAAAUAUAAAACACUAAUAUAUCUUGAUUAGAUGAGUAUUCAACUCCCUGAGUCAAUACAUGUUAGAAUCACCUUUGAUAGUCUUUCUGGGUAAGACUUUAAGAGCUUUCCACACCUGGAUUGUGCAACAUUUGCCCAUUGUCCUUUUCAAAAUUCUUCAAACUCUGUCAAAUUGUUUGUUGAUCAUUGCUAAACAACCAUUUUCAGGUCUUGCCAUAUAUUUUCAAGCAGAUUUAAGUCAAAACUGUAACUCGGCCACUCAGGAACAUUCACUGUCUUCUCGGUAAGCAACAGUGUAGAUUUGAUCUUGUGUUUUAGUUUAUUGACCUGCUGAAAGGUGAAAUCAUCUCCUAGUAUUACUUUAGUGCCUUGUUACUAACAGGAUGCAUGUUUUUGAAUAUUUUUAUUAUGUACAGACUUCUUUCUUUUCACUCUGUCAUUUAGGUUAGUAUUGUGGAGUAACUACAAUGUUGUUGAUCCAUCCUCAGUUUUCUCCUGUCACAGCCACUAAACGAUAACUGUUUUAAAGUUACCAUUGACCUCAUGGUGAAAUCCCUGAGUGGUUUCCUUCCUCUCCGGCAACUGAGUUAGGAAGGAUGCCUGUAUCCCUGUAAUGACUGGAUGUAUUGAUACACCAUCCAAAGUGUCAUUAAUAACUUCACCACGCUCAAAGGGAUAAUGGAUGUCUGUUUUUUUUUUACCCAUCUACCAGUAGGUGCCCUUCUUUGCGAGGCAUUGGAAAAUCUCCUUGGUCUUUGUGGUUGAAUCUGUGUUUGAAAUUCACUUCUUGACUGUAGGACCUUACAGAAAAUGGUAUAUGUGGGGUACAGAGAUGAAUUAGUCAUUCAAAAAUCAUGUUAAACACUAUUAUUGCACAAAUAGUUAGUCCAUGCAACUUAUUUUCUGACUUGUUAAGCACUUUUUUUUUACUCCUGAACAUAUUUACGCUUGCUAAGGUGUUGAAUACUUAUUGACUCAAGACAUUUAAUUUUUUCAUUUUUUCUUCAUUUAUUAACAUUUCUAAAAUAGAAUUCUACUUGGGGUACCAGUGACAAAAAAUAUCUACAUUUAAUCAUUUUUGAAUUCAGGCUGUAACAUGACAAAAUGUGGAAAAAGUCAAGUGGUGUGAAUACUUUCUGAAAGCACUGUAUGCCAGGCCCUCAUCCAUUUAGCCCUGGCAACUUUGUGUGUGUUUUUUACACUCUCAUUCCUCCACCCUCUCUC